RNAcentral lists this ribosomal RNA (1899 nucleotides) under Triticum aestivum (bread wheat). Its description in RNAcentral is "partial small subunit ribosomal RNA". The record is from RNAcentral. Lineage: Eukaryota; Viridiplantae; Streptophyta; Magnoliopsida; Poales; Poaceae.
AUGACCCCGCAGACAAGUCACGACGAGAGCCGGCGGACGGCAAUGGCGUCCUCCUCCUCCCCGGCGGCUCCGUUGCUCGUCCCUUGGCGAGAGGACCAGGACCGGGACGACGCGGCCGCUCGGAGCGACGGCGGGAGUCCGCGGGAGCAGGGGGUGAUGCAGAGCUGGGCGGAGGCGAUGCUGCUGUGCUGCGGCGACGCGGAGAGGCUGUGGCGCAGGGUGGUGCUGCGCAAGUGGCUGAACGUCGGCGCCGGCUCCGGCGACUCCGACUUCAGCGCCGACGAGGCCGAGGCCGAGGCCGAGGCCGAGGCAGACGACGAGGAGCCCGGCCACCAAGAGAAGUGCUGCUGUUGGGAACACAAACUGUAUGAUGAGGAAAGGAGAUCGCGUGGACUUGGUGCGGGCACGAUUGGUAAUCAGGUGAAGGCUGUGCCUGACAGACCUAAAAGGUGCAAUUCAGACACACUUCAUGCUCAGUAUAUCGAUGUCGCUGAACUCAGGAUUUUCGUAGGGACAUGGAAUGUUGGAGGCAGAGUUCCACCUACUGACUUAGACAUUCAAGAAUGGCUGGCCAUGGAGGAGCCAGCUGAUAUUUAUGUUCUCGGAUUUCAAGAAAUUGUCCCACUAAAUGCUGGGAAUAUAUUCGGUGCUGAAGAUGACCAUCCAGUUGCUGUCUGGGAACAUAUCAUUCGUGAAACUUUGAAUAAGCUAUGUCCAUAUAAACCAAAGCAUAAAUGUGUCAGUGAUCCUCCUUCACCAUCAAAGUUCAAUCCAUCAGAUUAUCUUGUGAUGGAAGAUGGCUUUCUUAGUGAGGCCGACAAUGAAAGUGAGGGGGAACUUCAUCCAUUGAUUGGACAAGACAUUAAUCCAGUUACUAAUGAUAGUGGCGUUUGUAAAACAUAUGAAUACCCCACCUCUGCUUCCAGUGAAAGAGUUCACGAAGGUGAAGACUUCAGGAAGAUGCUUCCAGUUCAUCUUCUUCAGGACAGCACAUCAGUUACUUCAGUGAAGACUCUAGCAGCUUCUGCGUCUUUUAAAUCGAGACAUGAGAAUUCUAAUGGUUUUCCAGAAGAUAAUCUAGACCAUGAUGUUAGUACCGAUAAUAGAGUCGUUAAGAGGAAAAAUUCAAAUUUUGUACGGAUAAUAAGCAAGCAAAUGGUGGGAAUAUAUCUUUCGGUGUGGGUUCAGAGAGGCCUUAGGAGGCACAUUCACAAUUUGAGAGUAUCAACUGUAGGUGUAGGCGCGAUGGGUUACAUCGGUAACAAGGGAUCAAUAUCAGUCAGCAUGUCUAUAUAUCAGACACCCUUUUGUUUUGUAUGUUGCCACCUGACAUCUGGUGAAAAGGAUGGAAAUCUAACAAAGAGAAAUGCAGAUGUUGAAGAAAUCCUUCGAAGAACGAUAUUUAACCCAGUUCAUAGAGUCAGCAUGCCUAAGGGAAUACAUGACCAUGAAAAGAUUAUAUGGUUUGGGGAUCUCAACUACCGAAUCAACCUAUCAUAUGAAAGAACACAUGAGCUUAUCUCCAGACAGGAAUGGGAUUUAUUGUUUGACAAUGAUCAGCUAAAAUGGGAACUGAUGAAAGGGCGUACAUUUGACGGUUGGAUCGAAGGGGUGAUUAGCUUCCCCCCAACAUAUAAAUACGAAUUUAAUUCAGAUAAGUAUGCGGGUGACGAGCCAAUAUCGGCGAGAAGAAGACCUGCAUGGUGCGAUCGGAUUCUUUCAUAUGGAAAGGGCAUCAGGUUGGAUUCUUACAGAAGGGCGGAGCUUAAUCUUUCGGAUCACCGCCCGGUGUGCGCGGUCUACAUGACCGAGGUUGAAGUUUUAUGCCACAGAAAGUUUCAGAAGGCUCUAACAUUCACCAAUCUAGAGGUCGAUGACCAUCUGUUCUUGGAGAGAUGA